RNAcentral lists this small RNA (917 nucleotides) under Pongo abelii (Sumatran orangutan). Its description in RNAcentral is "retained intron". The record is from RNAcentral. Lineage: Eukaryota; Metazoa; Chordata; Mammalia; Primates; Hominidae.
AAGGAGACCUAGUACAUAGCAAGUGCCAAAUAAACAUUGAGUGGCAAAAAAGAGGGAAAGCAACGUAAGUCAUCCUAAGAGAGCACACAGAGCAGGAGGGGUAGAAACCAGCCCCGGGGAGGGCAAGGUCCCCGCUGGCGAGGUCGCUGACGGGGUGAACAGGGAUGGCAGGACACGGGAAAGCGCAGGCUCCGGGAAGGGGGACGCCAGGGCCCCAUGGCUGCAGGCAAACCUUGGGCCUGGCUUGGGAGUGGAAGUUCCGGCAGCAUCUUGCUUGGCCCUCUUUGCACAUUUGCCCCGUGUGGUUCCUGCGGGCCAGGGUGGGCGCGGCACUCCCUGCACCCGACACAAGCGUUCUCUCGGCAGGUAUGGGCAAGAAGGAUGACCCCAAGCUGAUGCAGGAGUGGUUCAAGCUAGUGCAGGAGAAGAACGCCAUGGUGCGCUACGAGUCGGAGCUGAUGAUCUUUGCCCGGGAGCUGGAGCUGGAAGACCGGCAGAGCCGACUGCAGCAGGAGCUCCGGGAACGCAUGGCAGUGGAAGAUCACCUUAAGACUGAGGAGGAGCUGUCAGAAGAGAAGCAGAUUCUCAAUGAGAUGCUGGAGGUGGUGGAGCAGAGAGACUCACUGGUGGCGCUGCUGGAGGAGCAGCGGCUCCGGGAGAGAGAGGAGGACAAGGACCUGGAGGCUGCCAUGCUGUCCAAGGGCUUCAGCCUUAACUGGUCCUGAGCUCCCACCCAACGCCCCAUUUUCUGUUGGCAUCCGCCUGGCCGGGCAGUGGCCUCCAAACCACCUGGAGCCGCGAUCUGAGGAGGCCUGGCACCUCCUUGGAGUUUACGCUCAGAUGCCCGUGUGCUGCUUGGAAAGUGGUCGAGUCCCACCUGCAGUGGGGAGCCCCAGGUGACAGUGGUUAUCUGAGAC